Molecule: ribosomal RNA, 683 nt
Filed under: Salmonella enterica
Lineage: Bacteria; Pseudomonadati; Pseudomonadota; Gammaproteobacteria; Enterobacterales; Enterobacteriaceae
Description: partial 23S ribosomal RNA
Rfam family: Bacterial large subunit ribosomal RNA
Source: RNAcentral
UGGUGGGUAGUUUGACUGGGGCGGUCUCCUCCUAAAGAGUAACGGAGGAGCACGAAGGUUGGCUAAUCCUGGUCGGACAUCAGGAGGUUAGUGCAAUGGCAUAAGCCAGCUUGACUGCGAGCGUGACGGCGCGAGCAGGUGCGAAAGCAGGUCAUAGUGAUCCGGUGGUUCUGAAUGGAAGGGCCAUCGCUCAACGGAUAAAAGGUACUCCGGGGAUAACAGGCUGAUACCGCCCAAGAGUUCAUAUCGACGGCGGUGUUUGGCACCUCGAUGUCGGCUCAUCACAUCCUGGGGCUGAAGUAGGUCCCAAGGGUAUGGCUGUUCGCCAUUUAAAGUGGUACGCGAGCUGGGUUUAGAACGUCGUGAGACAGUUCGGUCCCUAUCUGCCGUGGGCGCUGGAGAACUGAGGGGGGCUGCUCCUAGUACGAGAGGACCGGAGUGGACGCAUCACUGGUGUUCGGGUUGUCAUGCCAAUGGCACUGCCCGGUAGCUAAAUGCGGAAGAGAUAAGUGCUGAAAGCAUCUAAGCACGAAACUUGCCCCGAGAUGAGUUCUCCCUGAGACUUAAAGUCUCCUGAAGGAACGUUGAAGACGACGACGUUGAUAGGCCGGGUGUGUAAGCGCAGCGAUGCGUUGAGCUAACCGGUACUAAUGAACCGUGAGGCUUAACCUUACAACGCCGAA